CUUUGAAAAACGAAGCAAAAGGUAGGCUACAAAAUUAACGUCUAUCUGACGGACCCCCGCGUUGAAGAACGACGAAAAAGGUACCCAUCUUUCGUCGGAAAUUCUCGCUGGUGACGUCGGUAUGCGUAUAAAGUGAUGCGUGGUAUGUGGACGCAUCUGCCCUCCACAGAAGUUAAUGCUGGGUUUUGAGUAUCAUAUGCACGCGAAAUUGUCAUUUGGCGUAUGUACUGCACGCAUUUUGAAAGUGUCAAACCGUGCGAUCUGUACGCAUAUUGGUGAGACUGAGUUGUUCAUUCAGUCCUUCUAGUUGCAGAGUUCGCUCAUGCUAGGCUAGCGCUCAAUGGGAAAUACUAGCCUGCUAAUAAAACAGUCUUACCCACUCCACAGUACACCCGAGGUAAAUCAAUUAUGACGCCAGACUAUAGAUGUAAAUGUCUGUUUUGAUAAAACUAACCUCCCACCUUAUGAAUCAUCGCAUUUUGAGGGACUACUUUCUCAGCGGCAGCGGAAUUUUAUCUAGGUAUCAGUCCGCCGCUGCCGUAGCCUACUCGCCUCCUACAAGGAAUAUAACACUGAUGCUGAGACACAGCAAGUCCCACAAAAUGCAAUGCAAUGCAAGGCGCUGUCACACUUCAGUCCCCCUGGGUGCCCGUCUGGGAUCCGCCGGGCUCAUCAACGGUGUGUGGGGCUGGAGGAGCAGGGGAGAAAGCUAUACUGGGAGCUGAUGCAGGCCGUAAAUCUCCCCGGGUGGCGAGGGAGGGGCGGCCUGCGGUGUCCACUCUAACACCGCAGUCCGGCAUGAGGUGAGGGAUGGAGGCUGCCGCAGGGGACCCCGACGGGCAGCCCGACGGGCAGCCCAUGGGGGCAGGCUCGCUAACGGCCAACAGAGAUUUAGACAACAACAAGGAGUCUCAAAUGAUGUCAUUUGGAUCUCUGGAAAACAAUUGAUGUCACUAUUGCCAAAGAUCAUUCAAAUAUCGUCAUGUCCACCAUUGGAAAUGUAUCAUGAAUAAUG
Molecule: long non-coding RNA, 1015 nt
Organism: Gadus chalcogrammus (walleye pollock)
Lineage: Eukaryota; Metazoa; Chordata; Actinopteri; Gadiformes; Gadidae
Exons: 3
Source: RefSeq, a predicted model, not a curated record